GCGGCCGUGGUGUAGCUGGUUAACACAGCCCCCUGUCACGGGGCAGACCGCCGGUUCGAGUCCGGUCGGCCGCG
Molecule: transfer RNA, 74 nt
Filed under: bacterium
Lineage: Bacteria
Description: tRNA-Asp
Rfam family: tRNA
About the family: Transfer RNA (tRNA) molecules are approximately 80 nucleotides in length. Their secondary structure includes four short double-helical elements and three loops (D, anti-codon, and T loops). Further hydrogen bonds mediate the characteristic L-shaped molecular structure. tRNAs have two regions of fundamental functional importance: the anti-codon, which is responsible for specific mRNA codon recognition, and the 3' end, to which the tRNAs corresponding amino acid is attached (by aminoacyl-tRNA synthetases). tRNAs cope with the degeneracy of the genetic code in two manners: having more than one tRNA (with a specific anti-codon) for a particular amino acid; and 'wobble' base-pairing, i.e. permitting non-standard base-pairing at the 3rd anti-codon position.
Source: RNAcentral